RNAcentral lists this ribosomal RNA (800 nucleotides) under Curtobacterium sp. 5C. RNAcentral's name for it is "bacterial SSU rRNA". It matches the Rfam family "Bacterial small subunit ribosomal RNA", at positions 45 to 858 of the family's 1533-position model. The record is from RNAcentral. RNAcentral also lists the same sequence under 1 other name. Lineage: Bacteria; Bacillati; Actinomycetota; Actinomycetes; Micrococcales; Microbacteriaceae.
UGCAUUACCAUGCAGUCGACGAUGAUGCCCAGCUUGCUGGGUGGAUUAGUGGCGAACGGGUGAGUAACACGUGAGUAACCUGCCCCUGACUCUGGGAUAAGCGUUGGAAACGACGUCUAAUACUGGAUAUGAUCACUGGCCGCAUGGUCUGGUGGUGGAAAGAUUUUUUGGUUGGGGAUGGACUCGCGGCCUAUCAGCUUGUUGGUGAGGUAAUGGCUCACCAAGGCGACGACGGGUAGCCGGCCUGAGAGGGUGACCGGCCACACUGGGACUGAGACACGGCCCAGACUCCUACGGGAGGCAGCAGUGGGGAAUAUUGCACAAUGGGCGAAAGCCUGAUGCAGCAACGCCGCGUGAGGGAUGACGGCCUUCGGGUUGUAAACCUCUUUUAGUAGGGAAGAAGCGAAAGUGACGGUACCUGCAGAAAAAGCACCGGCUAACUACGUGCCAGCAGCCGCGGUAAUACGUAGGGUGCAAGCGUUGUCCGGAAUUAUUGGGCGUAAAGAGCUCGUAGGCGGUUUGUCGCGUCUGCUGUGAAAUCCCGAGGCUCAACCUCGGGCUUGCAGUGGGUACGGGCAGACUAGAGUGCGGUAGGGGAGAUUGGAAUUCCUGGUGUAGCGGUGGAAUGCGCAGAUAUCAGGAGGAACACCGAUGGCGAAGGCAGAUCUCUGGGCCGUAACUGACGCUGAGGAGCGAAAGCAUGGGGAGCGAACAGGAUUAGAUACCCUGGUAGUCCAUGCCGUAAACGUUGGGCGCUAGAUGUAGGGACCUUUCCACGGUUUCUGUGUCGUAGCUAACGC